CAGAGUAGAAAUUGAUGCGUCAAGUGCUGACAGAACGGGGAGUUGUCUGUCGGACGAAAGUAUUUUUACUGCGGUAUCAAUUUCGCAUCCCGCUGU
This 96-nucleotide non-coding RNA is filed under the name uncultured Butyricicoccus sp. RNAcentral's name for it is "THF riboswitch". It matches the Rfam family "THF (Tetrahydrofolate) riboswitch aptamer". Rfam says of the family: THF riboswitch presents a pseudoknot that joins P1-P2 and the loop of P3 and two THF binding. The record is from RNAcentral. Lineage: Bacteria; Bacillati; Bacillota; Clostridia; Eubacteriales; Butyricicoccaceae.